GACGAACGCUGGCGGCGUGCCUAAUACAUGCAAGUAGAACGCUGAAGGAGGAGCUUGCUUCUCCGGAUGAGUUGCGAACGGGUGAGUAACGCGUAGGUAACCUGCCUGGUAGCGGGGGAUAACUAUUGGAAACGAUAGCUAAUACCGCAUAAGAGUAGAUGUCGCAUGACAUUUGCUUAAAAGGUGCAACUGCACCACUACCAGAUGGACCUGCGUUGUAUUAGCUAGUUGGUGAGGUAACGGCUCACCAAGGCAACGAUACAUAGCCGACCUGAGAGGGGGAUCGGCCACACUGGGACUGAGACACGGCCCAGACUCCUACGGGAGGCAGCAGGAGGGAAUCUUCGGCAAUGGACGGAAGUCUGACCGAGCAACGCCGCGUGAGUGAAGAAGGGUUUCGGAUCGUAAAGCUCUGUUGUAAGAGAAGAACGAGUGUGAGAGUGGAAAGUUCACACUGUGACGGUAUCUUACCAGAAAGGGACGGCUAACUACGUG
RNAcentral lists this ribosomal RNA (495 nucleotides) under uncultured bacterium. RNAcentral's name for it is "partial 16S ribosomal RNA". It matches the Rfam family "Bacterial small subunit ribosomal RNA", at positions 28 to 507 of the family's 1533-position model. The record is from RNAcentral.